RNAcentral lists this long non-coding RNA (1016 nucleotides) under Gopherus agassizii (Agassiz's desert tortoise). RNAcentral describes it as "lncRNA (ENSGAGG00000004933.1)". Lineage: Eukaryota; Metazoa; Chordata; Testudines; Testudinidae. The record is from RNAcentral.
UAUGCCAGCAGGAUAAGCUUUCCCACCGACAUAGUGCUGUCUACACCGGCACUUAGGUCAGUAUAACUUACUUCAGACCCCUGAGUGACAUAAGUUAUACCACUAUAACCCGUAGUGUAGACAAGCCUUCAGUGAAAGGUUUAGACUUGUCUCUGAAUUUGGAAGGCACGGCACCAUUAUGUUAAGAGGAGUCACUAGCUGCAUCUGGGGCUGCAGGGCAGGGCUGGGGGCUUUAGCAGAGCUGGGAGGAAGGCCAGGCCUGGAAUAGGAGGCAGUUCUGUGGGUCAGGCUUGAUGUGAAACCUCUGUACGUGCCUUCACCCUCUUCUGAUUCUCUUCUCGCUGUCACCUGCAUUUCCACAAGGGGUGUCUACUUAAAUCUUUAAGGUUUUGACACGAUUCCACAAGAUGUCCCCCUUCCCUUUUUGAAAGAGGGUAUUUAUAACCAGAAACAUUCAAGAAACCGCAGUUCCAUUCCUUGUCCCAGGCUCUUGCUAGCUGAGGGCUGGGCGUGCUGCAGUGGUUUGAUCCAGCACUCUCUGAAGCUGGUAUUCUGCUUUGCUGUGCAGGACAUCCAGGUUCCAUUCCCUGUCCUGGUCUCUUACUCCCAAGAAGCUGGAUCUCCCACCUCGGGCUGCAAAUGUUUCAACACUCCCCAUAUCAUCUCUGUUCCAGAGGCUAGCGAAGAUUAGAAGGUGAAAAAAAAUGCACUCACGAUGACAUGUUCUCUGAACUCAUGCAGUCCUCCCUCACUGAAAGAGCCCAGCAGAAUGCCUGGAGGCUGACACUGUCAGAGUGCAGGAAAGCACAAAAUGAACAUGAGGACAGGAGGGACCAGCGAGAGGAGAUGUGGCGUUAGCAUGAUGAAAGUAGGCAUGAAGCAAUGCUCAAGGCUACUCUAGGAUCAAACUCUCAUUCUCCGGCGUAUUGUUAAGCAGGAAAGGCAGCAGGAGGAACACAGACAGCCGCUGCAGCCCCUGUGUGACCAACUGCUUUCCUCCCCAAGUUCCAUACCGU